RNAcentral lists this unclassified non-coding RNA (377 nucleotides) under plant metagenome. Its description in RNAcentral is "partial contains 5.8S ribosomal RNA, internal transcribed spacer 2, and large subunit ribosomal RNA". The stretch from base 1 to 104 matches the Rfam family "5.8S ribosomal RNA", at positions 51 to 154 of the family's 154-position model. The record is from RNAcentral.
AAAUGCGAUAAGUAAUGUGAAUUGCAGAAUUCAGUGAAUCAUCGAAUCUUUGAACGCACCUUGCGCUCCUUGGUAUUCCUUGGAGCAUGCCUGUUUGAGUAUCAUGAAAUCUUCAAAGUAAAUCUUUUGUUAACUCAAUUGGUUUCUACUUUGGUAUUGGAGGUCUUUGCAGCUUCACACCUGCUCCUCUUUGUUCAUUAGCUGGAUCUCAGUGUUAUGCUUGGUUCCACUCGGCGUGAUAAGUUAUCUAUCGCUGAGGACACUGUAAAAGGUGGCCAAGGUAAAUGCAGAUGAACCGCUUCUAAUAGUCCAUGGACUUGGACAAUACUUUUAUGAUCUGAUCUCAAAUCAGGGAGGACUACCCGCUGAACUUAAGC